RNAcentral lists this ribosomal RNA (430 nucleotides) under uncultured bacterium. RNAcentral describes it as "partial 16S ribosomal RNA". It matches the Rfam family "Bacterial small subunit ribosomal RNA", at positions 355 to 776 of the family's 1533-position model. RNAcentral also lists the same sequence under 1 other name. The record is from RNAcentral.
UGGGGAAUAUUGGACAAUGGGGGGAACCCUGAUCCAGCCAUGCCGCGUGUGUGAAGAAGGCCUUUUGGUUGUAAAGCACUUUAAGCGAGGAGGAGGCUACUCUAGUUAAUACCUAGGGAUAGUGGACGUUACUCGCAGAAUAAGCACCGGCUAACUCUGUGCCAGCAGCCGCGGUAAUACAGAGGGUGCGAGCGUUAAUCGGAUUUACUGGGCGUAAAGCGUGCGUAGGUGGCCAAUUAAGUCAAAUGUGAAAUCCCCGAGCUUAACUUGGGAAUUGCAUUCGAUACUGGUUGGCUAGAGUAUGGGAGAGGAUGGUAGAAUUCCAGGUGUAGCGGUGAAAUGCGUAGAGAUCUGGAGGAAUACCGAUGGCGAAGGCAGCCAUCUGGCCUAAUACUGACACUGAGGUACGAAAGCAUGGGGAGCAAACAGG